ACCAGACUCCUACGGGAGGCAGCAGUGAGGAAUAUUGGUCAAUGGGCGAGAGCCUGAACCAGCCAAGUCGCGUGAAGGAUGACGGCCCUACGGGUUGUAAACUUCUUUUGUCAGGGAGCAAUUGAGUCCACGUGUGGGCUUAGCGAGAGUACCUGAAGAAAAAGCAUCGGCUAACUCCGUGCCAGCAGCCGCGGUAAUACGGAGGAUGCGAGCGUUAUCCGGAUUUAUUGGGUUUAAAGGGUGCGUAGGCGGGCUGUUAAGUCAGCGGUCAAAUGUCGGGGCUCAACCCCGGCCUGCCGUCGAAACUGGGUGCCUUGAGUGGGCGAGAAGUACGCGGAAUGCGUGGUGUAGCGGUGAAAUGCAUAGAUAUCACGCAGAACUCCGAUUGCGAAGGCAGCGUACCGGCGCCCAACUGACGCUGAAGCACGAAGGCGUGGGUAUCGAGCAGGAUUAGAUACCCUAGUAA
Molecule: ribosomal RNA, 466 nt
Filed under: uncultured bacterium
Lineage: Bacteria
Description: bacterial SSU rRNA
Rfam family: Bacterial small subunit ribosomal RNA
Source: RNAcentral